Molecule: ribosomal RNA, 529 nt
Filed under: Anterastes burri
Lineage: Eukaryota; Metazoa; Arthropoda; Insecta; Orthoptera; Tettigoniidae
Description: partial 16S ribosomal RNA
Rfam family: Bacterial large subunit ribosomal RNA
Source: RNAcentral
ACAAAAACAUGGCCUUUAGGGGAAAAUUUAAGGUCGGGCCUGCCCACUGAAAUAGUUGAAGGGCCGCGGUAUUUUGACCGUGCAAAGGUAGCAUAAUCAUUAGUCUUUUAAUUGAGGGCUGGAAUGAAUGGUUUGACGAAAUAUUGACUGUCUCUUUAUAAUAAAUAGAAUUUAACUUUUGAGUCAAAAGGCUUAAAUGAAUAUAAAAGACGAGAAGACCCUAUAGAUCUUUAUAUAGUUCUAUAAUUGUUUUAUUUAGUUGUUUUAUUUACAAUUAUUUAACUAUAUUUUGUUGGGGUGACAUGAAGAUAAAAAUAACUCUUUAUAAUAAGAACAUUGAUUUAUGGAUGACUGAUCCGUUAUUAACGAUUAUAAGAUAAAGUUACCUUAGGGAUAACAGCGUAAUUUUUUUUGAGAGUUCUUAUCGACAAAAAAGAUUGCGACCUCGAUGUUGGAUUAAGGAAUAUGAUUAGGUGUAGCAGUUUAAUUAAUAAGUCUGUUCGACUUUUAAAUCCUUACGUCAUCUGAG